RNAcentral lists this ribosomal RNA (674 nucleotides) under Bacillus sp. (in: firmicutes). RNAcentral describes it as "bacterial SSU rRNA". It matches the Rfam family "Bacterial small subunit ribosomal RNA", at positions 94 to 754 of the family's 1533-position model. The record is from RNAcentral. Lineage: Bacteria; Bacillati; Bacillota; Bacilli; Caryophanales; Bacillaceae.
AGCGGCGGACGGGUGAGUAACACGUGGGCAACCUGCCUAUAAGACUGGGAUAACUUCNGGAAACCGGAGCUAAUACCGGAUACGUUCUUUUCUCGCAUGANAGAAGAUGGAAAGACGGUUUACGCUGUCACUUAUAGAUGGGCCCGCGGCGCAUUAGCUAGUUGGUGAGGUAAUGGCUCACCAAGGCGACGAUGCGUAGCCGACCUGAGAGGGUGAUCGGCCACNCUGGGACUGAGACACGGCCCAGACUCCUACGGGAGGCAGCAGUAGGGAAUCUUCCGCANUGGACGAAAGUCUGACGGAGCANCGCCGCGUGAANGAAGAAGGCCUUCGGGUCGUAAAGUUCUGUUGUUAGGGAAGAACAAGUACCAGANUAACUGCUGGUNCCUUGACGGUACCUAACCAGAAAGCCACGGCUAACUACGUGCCAGCAGCCGCGGUAAUACGUAGGUGGCAAGCGUUGUCCGGAAUUAUUGGGCGUAAAGCGCGCGCAGGUGGUUCCUUAAGUCUGAUGUGAAAGCCCNCGGCUCAACCGUGGAGGGUCAUUGGAAACUGGGGAACUUGAGUGCAGAAGAGGAAAGUGNAAUUCCAAGUGUAGCGGUGANAUGCGUAGAGAUUUGGAGGAACACCAGUGGCGAAGGCGACUUUCUGGUCUGUAACUGACACUGAGGCGC